GAUGAACGCUAGCGGCAGGCCUAACACAUGCAAGUCGAGGGAGAAGCCCUUUCGGGGGCAGAAACCGGCGCACGGGUGCGUAACGCGUAUGCAACCUACCUUUCACAGGGGGAUAGCCCGAAGAAAUUUGGAUUAAUACCCCAUAGUAUUAUUGGAUGGCAUCAUUUGAUAAUUAAAACUGCGGUGGUGAAAGAUGGGCAUGCGUCCUAUUAGCUAGUUGGAGUGGUAACGGCACCCCAAGGCUACGAUAGGUAGGGGUCCUGAGAGGGAGAUCCCCCACACUGGUACUGAGACAGGGACCAGACUCCUACGGGAGGCAGCAGUGAGGAAUAUUGGUCAAUGGUCGGAAGACUGAACCAGCCAUGCCGCGUGCAGGAAGAAUGCCUUAUGGGUUGUAAACUGCUUUUAUAUGGGAAGAAUAAGGCGUACGUGUACGUUGAUGACGGUACCAUAUGAAUAAGCAUCGGCUAACUCCGUG
This 478-nucleotide ribosomal RNA is filed under the name uncultured bacterium. RNAcentral describes it as "partial 16S ribosomal RNA". It matches the Rfam family "Bacterial small subunit ribosomal RNA", at positions 28 to 507 of the family's 1533-position model. The record is from RNAcentral.